GAUGAACGCUGGCGGCGUGCCUAAUACAUGCAAGUCGAGCGAACAGACGAGGAGCUUGCUCCUCUGACGUUAGCGGCGGACGGGUGAGUAACACGUGGAUAACCUACCUAUAAGACUGGGAUAACUUCGGGAAACCGGAGCUAAUACCGGAUAAUAUAUUGAACCGCAUGGUUCAAUAGUGAAAGACGGUUUUGCUGUCACUUAUAGAUGGAUCCGCGCCGCAUUAGCUAGUUGGUAAGGUAACGGCUUACCAAGGCAACGAUGCGUAGCCGACCUGAGAGGGUGAUCGGCCACACUGGAACUUAGACACGGUCAAGACUCCUACGGGAGGCAGCAGUAGGGAAUCUUCCGCAAUGGGCGAAAGCCUGACGGAGCAACGCCGCGUGAGUGAUGAAGGUCUUCGGAUCGUAAAACUCUGUUAUUAGGGAAGAACAAAUGUGUAAGUAACUAUGCACGUCUUGACGGUACCUAAUCAGAAAGCCACGGCUAACUACGUG
This 497-nucleotide ribosomal RNA is filed under the name uncultured bacterium. Its description in RNAcentral is "partial 16S ribosomal RNA". It matches the Rfam family "Bacterial small subunit ribosomal RNA", at positions 28 to 507 of the family's 1533-position model. The record is from RNAcentral.